GGAGGAUUACCCAAGUGGCUGAAGGGGGCGGUCUUGAAAACCGCUAGGCCGCGAGAGCGACGCGAGGGUUCGAAUCCCUCAUCCUCCU
RNAcentral lists this transfer RNA (88 nucleotides) under Limosilactobacillus walteri. RNAcentral describes it as "tRNA-Ser". It matches the Rfam family "tRNA". From Rfam's summary of the family: Transfer RNA (tRNA) molecules are approximately 80 nucleotides in length. Their secondary structure includes four short double-helical elements and three loops (D, anti-codon, and T loops). Further hydrogen bonds mediate the characteristic L-shaped molecular structure. tRNAs have two regions of fundamental functional importance: the anti-codon, which is responsible for specific mRNA codon recognition, and the 3' end, to which the tRNAs corresponding amino acid is attached (by aminoacyl-tRNA synthetases). tRNAs cope with the degeneracy of the genetic code in two manners: having more than one tRNA (with a specific anti-codon) for a particular amino acid; and 'wobble' base-pairing, i.e. permitting non-standard base-pairing at the 3rd anti-codon position. Lineage: Bacteria; Bacillati; Bacillota; Bacilli; Lactobacillales; Lactobacillaceae. RNAcentral also lists the same sequence under 2 other names. The record is from RNAcentral.